RNAcentral lists this long non-coding RNA (1132 nucleotides) under Mus pahari (shrew mouse). RNAcentral describes it as "lncRNA (MGP_PahariEiJ_G0004815.1)". Lineage: Eukaryota; Metazoa; Chordata; Mammalia; Rodentia; Muridae. The record is from RNAcentral.
AGCAGCCAGGCCUUCCCUUCUCGCUGCUUGGCAGGGCGGACCUGGCCUUGUGCCAGCUGCAGCACGUGGAGCCACAGCGCCAAUCCUCUGACAGAGAACCCGGCCUGUUAUCUAACUUUGCAAAGGGAAGUUCUCCCCCAGUCUGGGAGCCAUAACCAGGGCUGCCAGAUGAGAACGGUGAGCAGAGCUCCACGCCCACAGCAAGUGCACUGUGAUUCCCCAGGACAUUGACUGUGGAUGAGUGAAGUCACACACUCCCAUGUCCUCAGCAUUCCAAGAGUGGAGUCAGAGAGGUCAGACUUAGGCAGAGAUGGCAGGCUGCAGAAUUUAGAACAAGCCAGAAACUGAUUCUGAGGCUCAGCUUCAAACUGAACACAGUAAGCUCCAUCAGGCUUGCUUCUGCAGCUCAGACACCCUGGGGUGGAUGAUAAGCUCUUGGUUUUGUGUCCUGUGCCUGAUCUCACAGAGAUCCAUGGCUGCUUUCCCAAAUCACAUCUUACACAGAGCUGGAAAUGUUCCCCAAUGUCUGCUGCCCCAGGUCUUUAGUGUAUUCUUUAAUUACCGUAUUUCCCUCCUGAGUGAUCCUCCCCAGAUUAAUGAAAUUACAUAUUAUAUAUUACAUAACCCACAGCUCCAGAACUCAUUCUGGAACCAGGCAGGCACUGAACUUGUGGCCUCUCAAAUGGCCAGGGUGAGGUUUGUAGGACCAGGCUGGGCCAGGCUUCCUUUUUUUUCCCUCUCCCAAUACAAGAAAAGGGCCUUGUGCAUGCUGGGCAAGGUCCCUUGUUGUUGUUGUCAUUUUUAAAGGCUAUGAUAGUUAUGGAUAUGUGUGUAUAUAAUAUAUUACACAUACACACAAAUACAUAUAUGUAUAUAUUUUAAUUGUGUCUAGAGAGUUGGCUCAGCAGUUAAGAGUACUUCUUGUUCUUGCAGAAGACCCAGGUUUAGUUUCCAGUAGCUACAUGGUAGAUACCUACCUGGCUAGCUCACAACCACUCUUACUACAUUUCCAUUUCUAGGUGAUCCAACUCGCUUUCAUGGUCCCUGCAGGCACCAGGCACACACAUAGUGCACAUACACACAUGCAGGCAAACACUCAUACACAUGAAAAUAAAAUCUAUUUUUAAUAAUU